GACGUAGGGCGCGAGCGUUGUCCGGAUUUAUUGGGCGUAAAGAGCUCGUAGGCGGCUUGUCGCGUCGUUCGUGAAAACUCACAGCUCAACUGUGAGCUUGCGGUCGAUACGGGCAGGCUAGAGUUCGGUAGGGGAGACUGGAAUUCCUGGUGUAGCGGUGAAAUGCGCAGAUAUCAGGAGGAACACCGGUGGCGAAGGCGGGUCUCUGGGCCGAUACUGACGCUGAGGAGCGAAAGCGUGGGGAGCGAACAGG
RNAcentral lists this ribosomal RNA (253 nucleotides) under uncultured bacterium. RNAcentral's name for it is "partial 16S ribosomal RNA". It matches the Rfam family "Bacterial small subunit ribosomal RNA", at positions 524 to 776 of the family's 1533-position model. The record is from RNAcentral.